RNAcentral lists this ribosomal RNA (449 nucleotides) under uncultured bacterium. RNAcentral's name for it is "SSU rRNA". It matches the Rfam family "Bacterial small subunit ribosomal RNA", at positions 26 to 518 of the family's 1533-position model. The record is from RNAcentral.
AGAAUGAACGCUGGCGGCAUGCCUAACACAUGCAAGUCGAACGAAUUACCUUCGGGUAGUUAGUGGCGCACGGGUGCGUAACGCGUGGGAAUCUGCCCUUGGGUUCGGAAUAACAGUGAGAAAUUACUGCUAAUACCGGAUAAUGACGUAAGUCCAAAGAUUUAUCGCCCAAGGAUGAGCCCGCGUAAGAUUAGCUAGUUGGUGGGGUAAAGGCCUACCAAGGCGACGAUCUUUAGCUGGUCUGAGAGGAUGAUCAGCCACACUGGGACUGAGACACGGCCCAGACUCCUACGGGAGGCAGCAGUGGGGAAUAUUGGACAAUGGGCGAAAGCCUGAUCCAGCAAUGCCGCGUGAGUGAUGAAGGCCUUAGGGUUGUAAAGUCCUUUUAACGGGGAAGAUAAUGACGGUACCGUAGAAUAAGCCCCGGCUAACUUCGUGCCAGCAGCCGC